UUUCUUUCUCAGCGGCAGGAUGUCAGCUGAUCUGCUGCUCCUGGAGGUACCGAGGUCCAAACAGAAGCUCAGAGGGGAUAGAGCAUUUUCCACUGCUGCUCCAAAACUAUGGAACGAGUUACCAUUGAACAUUAGACAAGCCUCCUCACUGUCCAUUUUUAAAACCAGUCUUAAAACCCAUUUUUACUCCCUGGCUUUUAACUCCACAUGAGACAUUUUAU
Molecule: long non-coding RNA, 221 nt
Organism: Thalassophryne amazonica
Lineage: Eukaryota; Metazoa; Chordata; Actinopteri; Batrachoidiformes; Batrachoididae
Exons: 3
Source: RefSeq, a predicted model, not a curated record